RNAcentral lists this microRNA (21 nucleotides) under Ectocarpus siliculosus. Its description in RNAcentral is "esi-miR3453-5p". The record is from miRBase by way of RNAcentral. Lineage: Eukaryota; Phaeophyceae; Ectocarpales; Ectocarpaceae.
UUCUCCUCGAUCGCCCGCCUG